RNAcentral lists this ribosomal RNA (434 nucleotides) under uncultured bacterium. RNAcentral's name for it is "partial 16S ribosomal RNA". It matches the Rfam family "Bacterial small subunit ribosomal RNA", at positions 29 to 507 of the family's 1533-position model. The record is from RNAcentral.
AGCGAACGCUGGCGGCAGGCCUAAUACAUGCAAGUCGAACGAACCUUUCGGGGUUAGUGGCGGACGGGUGAGUAACACGUGGGAACGUGCCCUUAGGUUCGGAAUAACUCAGGGAAACUUGUGCUUAUACCGAACGUGCCCUUCGGGGGAAAGAUUUAUCGCCGUUAGUGGGGCCGGCGUCUGAUUAGCUAGUUGAUUGAGGUAAUGGCUCACCAAGGCGACAAUCAGUAGCUGGUCAGAGAGCAAGAUCAGCGACUUUGGGGCUGGGACACGGCCGAAACUCUUACGCGAGGCAGCAGUGGGGAAUCGUGCGCAAUGGGCGAAAGGCUGACGGUGCCAUGCCGCGUGAAUGCUGAAGGUCUUAGGGUUGUAAAAUUCUUUCACCGGGGACGGUAAUGACGGUACCCAGAGAAAAAGCCCCGGCUAACUUCGUG